CGAUUCCAGAGAGGGAGCCUGAGAAACGGCUACUACAUCUAAGGAAGGCAGCAGGCGCGCAAAUUACCCAAUCCUAAUACAGGGAGGUAGUGACAAGAAAUAACAAUACAGGACUUUACGGUUUUGUAAUUGGAAUGAGUUAAGUAUAAACCCCUUUACAAGUAUCAAUUGGAGGGCAAGUCUGGUGCCAGCAGCCGCGGUAAUUCCAGCUCCAAUAGCGUAUAUUAAAGUUGUUGCAGUUAAAAAGCUCGUAGUUGGAUUUCUGUUAAUACCUUAUAUAUAAUAUUUUUUUUUAAAUAUUAUUAUGUAAGAUUAACAUAAUUCAUAUUUUUUAAGACUGAAUUUUUAGUUUUGAUAAUAUGAAAUUUUACUUUGAGAAAAUUAGAGUGCUUAAAGCAGGCUUUUGCCUUGAAUACUCCAGCAUGGAAUAAUA
Molecule: ribosomal RNA, 433 nt
Filed under: Cryptosporidium sp. RY-2015
Lineage: Eukaryota; Apicomplexa; Conoidasida; Eucoccidiorida; Cryptosporidiidae
Description: partial 18S ribosomal RNA
Rfam family: Eukaryotic small subunit ribosomal RNA
Source: RNAcentral